AUGUCAAAUUCCAAAAACCAGCGAGCAGUAUUUACAGAAAAAAGUCUUCGUUUAUUGGGAAAGAAUCAAUAUACUUUUAAUGUCGAAUCGGGAUUCACUAAGACAGAAAUAAAGCAUUGGCUCGAACUCUUCUUUGGUGUUAAGGUGGUAGCUGUGAAUAGCCACCGACUACCUGGAAAAGGUAGAAGAAUAGGACCUAUUCUGGGCCAUACAAUGCAUUACAGACGUAUGAUCAUUACCCUUCAACCGGAUUAUUCUAUUCCACUUCUAGAUAGACCAUAG
This 282-nucleotide ribosomal RNA is filed under the name Triticum aestivum (bread wheat). RNAcentral describes it as "partial small subunit ribosomal RNA". Lineage: Eukaryota; Viridiplantae; Streptophyta; Magnoliopsida; Poales; Poaceae. The record is from RNAcentral.